RNAcentral lists this ribosomal RNA (247 nucleotides) under uncultured bacterium. RNAcentral describes it as "partial 16S ribosomal RNA". It matches the Rfam family "Bacterial small subunit ribosomal RNA", at positions 523 to 769 of the family's 1533-position model. The record is from RNAcentral.
AUACGAAGGGGGCUAGCGUUGUUCGGAAUCACUGGGCGUAAAGCGCACGUAGGCGGAUCAAUAAGUCAGGGGUGAAAUCCCGAGGCUCAACCUCGGAACUGCCUUUGAUACUGUUGACCUUGAGUCCGGGAGAGGUGAGUGGAACUCCGAGUGUAGAGGUGAAAUUCGUAGAUAUUCGGAAGAACACCAGUGGCGAAGGCGGCUCACUGGCCCGGUACUGACGCUGAGGUGCGAAAGCGUGGGGAGC